This 221-nucleotide ribosomal RNA is filed under the name uncultured bacterium. Its description in RNAcentral is "partial 16S ribosomal RNA". It matches the Rfam family "Bacterial small subunit ribosomal RNA", at positions 116 to 334 of the family's 1533-position model. The record is from RNAcentral.
CGUGGGCAACCGACCCGUGAGUGGGGAAUACCCGCCGAAAGGCGAGUUAAUACCGCAUACGGUCCCUCACUGAUGAGUGAGGGAAGAAAGCAUCGCAAGGUGCGCUGACGGGAGGGCCUGCGUCGGAUUAGGUAGUUGGUGGGGUAACGGCCUACCAAGCCGAUGAUCCGUCGCUGAUCUGAGAGGAUGAUCAGCCAGACUGGGACUGCGACACGGCCCAG